Molecule: long non-coding RNA, 301 nt
Organism: Melanotaenia boesemani (Boeseman's rainbowfish)
Lineage: Eukaryota; Metazoa; Chordata; Actinopteri; Atheriniformes; Melanotaeniidae
Exons: 3
Source: RefSeq, a predicted model, not a curated record
UUUUUCUCAGAUUGUAGAAGGAAACGUUUCUGCUAAGUGGAAUAUUAAUGAAACUAAAGAGAGGAAGGAGAGCAGCAGAAGACCUGCCUGCAGCUGUUACAAGACUGAAGAUCUACAGGAAUUACCAGAUAACGGACCUGCCUUGGACAUUUUCCUGGAAAAACCCUCAGAUGACUCCUAGAAGUGACUUGUCCAUGACAGUUUCAGACUGACGACCCUGAAUUGGAUUAAGACAUAUAGAAAAUGAUGAAAUGAGACUUCAGACUGGUUUAACGGUGGUUUGUGACUAGAUGCUGAACCA